ACUAAGAAAAAUACAAUAUUGCAUUCUGUAAUGGAUAAAGGAACCUAAAAAUACAGAUUUCCAAUUGAAAAUAAAAAUCACGCAGAAUGAGAAACAACCAUGGAGGGACAACCGUUUUGCUCUGGAGGAGAAUUAUUACUCACACACCUUUUUCUGAAGCUGUUUUUACAACAUGGUCUUAGGUUUUCAGUCUUUAAAGCUGCAAAAGUCAGAUACUGAAAAGCUCCAAUGAAAGUGGGCAUCAGACAACCUCAUAAUAUGAAUGUAACAGCGUGGCAAAUAUUGAUGGCUCAUGAAUAUGUGGGUGCCUCUGGAGGGAAUUUGACCACUGAGAUGAAUGAAAGUACAUAUACUGAUAAGUCUCUCCUUUACUUUUACCUUCAAGGAGAGAAAAGGAACUAUCAGAGGAGAUGAGAAGAGAAAUACUCAAUAGUGCAUUCUUAACUGGUGAAAAUCACACCAAAUACUUUUGAGUAUGCCCCACAAUCUGAAAUUGUCUUUUUUCUUUACUGAUUUCCAUUUCUGUUGCAUCUUCCCAUUUAGAAUGUUGUAUCUAAGAUGGCAAGGAUUUUGUAUGUUUUGUUUUUUAUUUUAACUCACUUCCUAAAAUUGUGCAAGGCCAUUGUAGGUGCUCAAUAAAAUAUUACGCAAUGAAUGAA
Long non-coding RNA from Myotis lucifugus (little brown bat), 659 nucleotides. RefSeq lists it as uncharacterized. The record is from RefSeq and is a predicted model, not a curated record. The transcript has 2 exons. NCBI's taxonomy places the organism in Eukaryota, Metazoa, Chordata, Mammalia, Chiroptera, Vespertilionidae.